Molecule: long non-coding RNA, 1163 nt
Filed under: Pan troglodytes (chimpanzee)
Lineage: Eukaryota; Metazoa; Chordata; Mammalia; Primates; Hominidae
Description: long non-coding RNA NONPTRT009296
Source: RNAcentral
AUGUAAGGUAUUAACUAAUACGAAUUAAGCACAUAUUAAAGAGUCACAGGUAGCUUUGCAGACCCUUCAUGCAAAUUAUUAAUAGAAAAUGGUGCCCCCCUUGAGGCCACUUGAUGAGCUGAGGCAUUGAGGGCCAUGUAUAGUUUUUUGUUGUAUAUUCUUCUUUGCCUUUUUAAAGAAUAACCUUCUAAAAAUGUAAAAAAAAACACUCUUCACUCAUAGGCCACACAGAAAACAUUCCACAGGGUCGAAUUGGCUCACGGAUAGCAAUUUGCCAACCUCUGCUCUGUAUCUUGAUUAGGUGCUGGUUGCAUGGAUAUAUAUAUAUUUGUCAAAACUCACUGAUCAAUGCACUUAAGACCUAUGCUUUUUACUAUAUGUAGUCUCAAUAAAAUAUAGAACAGUUCUUGACAGUUGAGUUAAUGCUCAAAUGAAUGUUAAUGUUAUUUUACCUUCAUAUAAUGACAUACUUUAUUUUUAAUUAUAACAAAGUAUUAUUCUUCUGCAUUAUAAAACAAAUUCAAGCUAUAUAUGUGUAUGUGUAUAUAGAAAAUAUUCUCAGACCUCAAGGGGUCGUUGAACCCUAGUCAGAGAAUCAAGCAUCUGUGAUGGACCAAUCUGUUCCUUCUACCUGGUGCCUGAGUAAGAACUAGCCAUAAGACCACAAGGCCACCUUGCCUUUGAUUAGCAUGCUGCGCGUCUCCUUUCCCAGUUGAGGUUUUUGAAGAACGAGAAUGUAUUGCAUUUAAGAUCUAGCCAGAUAACCAUUUGAAACAUUUCCAAAGGCUAAGACACUAUUUUUGAGAAUAUUUUCUGUGCAUUAAUAUUUCCUUAUGUACAUAUUGGCAUCACUUUUCACACAUGCUAAAGAAUAUUCCCUAUGGAACUAGCAAUUCAAAACUGCUGAGCAAAACCGCAUUAGAUAGUGUCAUGAAGAAAACUCCAUGUGGAGUGAAAAAGUUCUCAUCUGUUUCCAACAAUGGAAGCCCUCGUAUUGGUGGCAAUAGGAAAUGUGAAAGUAUUUUGCUAAUUGAAGCUUAUGAGAACACUGAGGCAUGGCUGCCACAAACGAAAUGAUUGAACUUUUUCUUAAAGUUCCCUCAGAACCUUGAAGUUGAGAGAUUGCUGGGGGCAUACCUUUCCUAGCUAGGGCUUCCGAUACU